AUGAUUCGUCAGUUUUGGCGGGGAAGUAAAGAAGGAAAAAUACGACCAUGUUGGGUGUCUUGGGAUGUAAUCACAAGACCUAAAUGCCUUGGUGGUUUGGGUUUUCGGGAUAUGGAGAUAUUUAACCUUGCACUCUUAUCCAGGCAGGCGUGGCAACUGCUAGAAUAUCCUGACUCCCUCAGUGCACGUAUGCUAAAGGCAAUCUACUACCCAGACACAUCAAUCCUCGACGCGGAGUUAGGGUCCCGACCUUCUCAAAUUUGGCGGGCUGUCAUCGAUGGGCGGAACAUUAUGAAGCAAGGAAUUAUUCGUCGGAUAGGAGAUGGCUCAUCAACAUAUAUAUGGACUCAGAACCGGAUUCCAAGGGAAGGUUUUUAUAGGCCUGUUUCUUCACUAGUUGCGGCCCCCGCAGACAGUUUAUGA
RNAcentral lists this ribosomal RNA (423 nucleotides) under Triticum aestivum (bread wheat). RNAcentral's name for it is "partial small subunit ribosomal RNA". The record is from RNAcentral. Lineage: Eukaryota; Viridiplantae; Streptophyta; Magnoliopsida; Poales; Poaceae.